GAUGAACGCUGGCGGCGUGCCUAAUACAUGCAAGUCGAGCGAACAGACGAGGAGCUUGCUCCUCUGACGUUAGCGGCGGACGGGUGAGUAACACGUGGAUAACCUACCUAUAAGACUGGGAUAACUUCGGGAAACCGGAGCUAAUACCGGAUAAUAUAUUGAACCGCAUGGUUCAAUAGUGAAAGCCGGUUUUGCUGUCACUUAUUGAUGGAUCCGCGCCGCAUUAGCUAGUUGGUAAGGUAACGGCUUACCAAGGCAACGAUGCGUAGCCGACCUGAGAGGGUGAUCGGCCACACUGGAACUGAGACACGGUCCAGACUCCUACGGGAGGCAGCAGUAGGGAAUCUUCCGCAAUGGGCGAAAGCUUGACGGAGCAACGCCGCGUGAGUGAAGAAGGUCUUCGGAUCGUAAAACUCUGUUAUUAGGGAAGAACAAAUGUGAAAGUAACUAUGCACGUCUUGACGGUACCUACUCAGAAAGCCACGGCUAACUACGUG
Molecule: ribosomal RNA, 497 nt
Filed under: uncultured bacterium
Lineage: Bacteria
Description: partial 16S ribosomal RNA
Rfam family: Bacterial small subunit ribosomal RNA
Source: RNAcentral